UCUCAUCACCUCAUCCGCCCCCCCCCUUCAUCCUCUUCCCACGCCACACACACACAAACACACACCGCCCCUCUCCCGCAGCCCACCCCUCUUCCGCUCUCGCACACGGACGCGCAGACGCGAAGAGCCGCACAUCAAGCGACGAGUACAAGCGAAGGGGAACGAAGCGAGCGAACGUAGAAACCCGCGCACGCAGGUGCCUUUUCAGCGCCUCCUAUCUCCCCCCUCCCCUCAACACACACGCACAUACACACCUUCUUCACAUCAUUAGCUCCGCAGCCAUGUCGUACCCACCGACGGAGGCGGAUGUGAUCAGCAACGACAGCCUCUUCUCCGACUCUGUCGAGUUCGACGCAGCGGAGAAGCCGAUCGCUGCCGAGGAUGUUCACGGCUUUGCUGAAGCGAAAGAGCAGCCUCUUGGGCACGACGACCGCGGCCUGCCCACAGAUGAUGCCGUGAUGCACGCCGGUUCGCGGUACCCUGAGGAAGAGCCGGCCGGGCCGCCGCCGCCGGUAACGAAUGCCUUCAUGAAGCCACGCAAGACAGCGACGAAGCCGCCACGGGAGUGGGUGCCAGUGAACCUGCAGGUGCCCGAGGAAGACCCGGAGGACGAGUUCGACAUUGGCACCGCUCAGAAGCCCGUGUACGAGAGCCCGGAAACCCCUGCGGCUACCGGUGGUGCUGCUGCGCCAAAGGUACGGUUCGUGAACGGCGAGCCUGACAUCAGGGGCGAGGUGACGAACUGCUUCGAGGAGCCCGGGUUGCUCUACCGCAUCGUUGACCGACCGAACAAGACGUGGGCCUUCUACAACGACAGCCGUUCCUUCGAAGUGCACGUUGUGUGCACGUUUGGCAAGCACAGCAAGAUCACGCCGCUCGAAAACACGAAGAUGACGCGUGAUGAAAGCACGGGCGAGUACGUGAUGGAGUUGACCGUCUACCCUGGCGAGACGGAGCCCUUCAUCAAGGGCUUCGUGAACGGCUUCUCGAGCAAGCUGAGCGCGCUGCCGCUGUCGCAGGAGUACUUCCAAGCUCGCAGCGAGGCACAGAAUCAGCAGGUUGUGCAGGUGGAGAUGGACGCCAUCCGCGCCAUCGCCGGCGACGAGACGGAUGCGGAGCGCAUUCUGCAGAUCUGCCUGGAGAACGGCCUACCCUUUGUCGACCUCUCCUUCCCGCCUGUGCAGUCGUCCAUCGAGUCUGGGGCGGCGAAGCCGUUCAAGCGGCUGCCGUGGGGCCGGCCACGCAUGUACGUGAAGCCGGAGCUGCACGACCAAAUUCGACUCUUCCGCAACCGCAUCUGCCCCGGCGAGGUCGAGCAGGGCGAGCUGGGUGACUGCUGGCUCAUGUGCGCGGUAGCCACGCAGGCCGAGGACCCGACAGUGGUCAUGCAGAUGUUCCGGCACCCGAAGGGCGCCGAUUCGGCGCGGUGCGAGCGCGCUAUCGGUGCGUACCGCGUGUCCUUCAACAAGAACGGUCUCUGGCGCAGUAUCCUUGUGGACGACUACUUUCCUGUCAUCGCCGGCGCGCCGGCCUUCGCUCACAGCCGCGACCUGUGCGAGCUGUGGCCGGCAGUUCUCGAGAAGGCGUUUGCCAAGAUGCACGGCAGCUACGCUAUGAUCCAGUCCGGUGAUCCGAUGCACGCACUGACAGACAUGACGGGAUUCCCGGCCAUGCGCAUCGACGAAAUGGUCGCCAAGGCGGCCGUGCACAACGGCCGCGACCUGGAGUCGCAGAUGAUCCAGUGGCAAAGGAAGGGCUACCAGGCCAUCCUCACGACGCCCGGCAAGGCGCCGGCGAUUCCGGCGGAUGCGCAGAGCUCGCCGGACUUCUCCGACCAGCCCGAGAUGGAGGAGGCGUUCGCCGGUACCGGCUUCCUGCCCGGCCACGCCUACUCCGUGCUGGACGUGAAGGAGUUCCAAAAGGGUCAGAUCCGCCUGAUAUGCCUGCGCAACCCGUGGGUGCACGGCAGCGGAUGGACGAGGGCGUGGGCGUGGGAUGCCCUGGAGUGGCAACAGCACCGCGAUAUCGCCACCGCGUGCGGCUUCAGCAAGCACAAGGGCGACACUAGCAUCGUCUGGAUGACCUUCGAGGAUGCGCUCAAGUAUUUCAUCGGCGGUGGUGUACUUUUCCGCGCGCCGGCAGCGCACGACGCGCGCGUGCCCAUUACCUUCGCCGACUGCAAGCCCGGCGCCGUCUUUCAGGUGUCGGUGAAGGCGCCGAUGGACGUCACGUUCAUCUUGUCGAACAUGGACCACCGCGGCAUGCACGUCGACGAGGCAGGUGCGGCCGAGUCCGACCCGAACAACAUAGACUACCCACCCGUGAUGCUGUCGCUUGCCGCGCCGGUGCCCAAAGAGACGGACGUGUACCAGGUCGUGCAGAACUCCUCGACUGACAUGACGCAGCCGUCGGACAACGCGUGGCUGUUCCUGCAGGCGCGCGAGAUUGCCAUGACGUGCCACCUGGAGCCGAGUGCCGCGCCGUACCUGCUCAUUCCGCGCCUCAUGGAGGGCGACGAGACAGUCGGCAACGGCAACGGCGGAGGCGAGGACAUGCGCGAUUUUGUGCAUCCGAUCUACUACGUCAACGACUACGUCCACCUCUUCCGGAACGCGCCAAGCGUGAAAGCUAAGGAGAUUGCCGUGACCAUCGGUUUCGAGGCGGAUGAGGAGAUCGGUGAUAACAUCGUCGUGGUCAUGUGCAAGAUAGGCGAGGGCAACGCCGUCUUUGAGAACUUUCCGAAGUUCCCGACGGACGACGUGGAGCCGCACGAGGAGGAGCUGUACUUCCAGACCAAGGAGAGCAACUGCGGCUAUGCGCAGGAGAAGGCCGGCACGGCCAUCUACUGAGAUCGCCUCAGGCCUCUUCUCAACAAAAAGAAACAUUUUCCCUAUGGCUGUGCGUUAGGGAUGCGUGAGAGAGAGAGAGACGAGGAAAGAGGGUGCGUGUGUGCGAGAAUGCGAUGAGCUUCAGCACAGCCGUCGUGUCCUUGUCAACGUCGGUUGCGUUCGGUGAUGUUCGAUAAAAUGAGGUGGCCGACGCGACAUGGCCAAAGUGAUGCCAGGUAUGGCGCCGUUGGAAGAGGGACGAGGAGGGAGGGAAAGAGGGAGGGUGUUGGUGUUUGAGAGGGAGUGAGUGCGACUCUUUUCUCCGGAAGCACAUCACGGCUUCCGGUGCCGCUCGCUUCCUCAGGCACCCACACGCCCGCCCGCAUCCUCUCUCUACCUGUCUCUCUCGCUCUCUUCCCUGGGCUCCCAUCUCUUCUUUUCCAGUUGUUUGACAGCGGAGGAGUCCAUCCAAACAAAUCUGUGAGCAUAUGGGGGCGUGUGUGUGUGUGUGUGUCUCUUGCGUUCCACCACAGCACCCCUGCACACCAACACACGCAUCCCUCAUCGCUUGCAGCCCCACUGUCGCAGAUGAUACCGAAAGAAGGAGCGGGGGGUACUUGCCCUCUCGUGCGGUCGCUCGAGGAGUGCUGCACCGGUCCUUUUCUGCCCUCCCCCUCCCCCUCUCCAUCUCCUCCCGAUCGCGUAGCGACUUUCCUUCUCGAAGCUGCGUCGCUCUCUUUGUUGUUGUUCAUGUUUUGGUUUCACGUAUGCCGGUGCCGGUUUGUCCAUACAUAUAUACAUAUAUAUAUUUAUGUGUGUAUAUAUGUAUGUAUAUAUGUGUGUAUAUAUGUGUGUAUAUAUGUAUGUAUAUAUGUGUGUAUAUUUAUAUAUGUGUGUAUAUAUGUAUAUAUAUAUGUGUGUAUAUAUGUAUGUAUAUAUGUGUGUAUAUAUGUGUGUAUAUAUGUGUGUAUAUAUGUGUGUAUAUAUGUAUGUAUAUAUGUGUGUAUAUAUGUGUGUAUAUAUGUAUAUAUAUGUGUGUAUAUAUGUGUGUAUAUAUGUAUGUAUAUAUGUGUGUAUAUAUGUGUGUAUAUAUGUAUGUAUAUAUGUGUGUAUAUAUGUAUAUAUAUGUGUGUAUAUAUGUGUGUAUAUAUGUGUGUAUAUAUGUAUGUAUAUAUGUGUGUAUAUAUGUGUGUAUAUAUAUAUAUAUAUGUGUGUAUAUAUGUAUAUAUAUGUGUGUAUAUAUGUAUGUAUAUAUGUGUGUAUAUAUGUGUGUAUAUAUAUAUAUAUAUGUGUGUAUAUAUGUAUAUAUAUGUGUGUAUAUAUGUGUGUAUAUAUGUGUGUAUAUAUGUGUGUAUAUAUGUAUAUAUAUGUGUGUAUAUAUGUAUAUAUAUGUGUGUAUAUAUGUGUGUAUAUAUGUGUGUAUAUGCGUAUAUAUGUAUCUGUGCAUAUGUAUCUAAUAUAUAUAUAUUCCAUGUACAUUCUGUGUACACAUCUUAGGCUUUUUGUAUAUGUGUAUACAUGGGUGUGUGUGUGUGUGUGUGUGUGUCAACGGUGCUGAUUGGCGUGCCGUGCGUGUUUUCGUGUCUCUCUUGCUUGCCGUUGUUGUUGUUUCCAACCACCACCACCUCUGCUCUUUGUACGCGUGGGUUUGCUUCGAUUCGCCCGUUGCUGAACUCCAGCUCAUCCGUCCAUGCCCCACCUCUCUCUCCAUCUGUGUUUUUCUGCACGUCUGUCUGUGUGUACUUGGACAGAAACAAGUCGACGUGGCACUGCUCUUGUCCCUCCCCCCCUCCCCCCAGACCCACCCCUCACUACCAACACCCACCUCAACCCUUACCACUCUCCCCCACCCACCCACGCCGCUGCCUCUCGUCAGCCUUCAACUGACGGUGGUCAGCAGGAGAAACGGCUGAGGUGAAGGAUUGGUGGGGUUCGCCUAGAAUGUCGUGUAGCACACAUGUCGCCGCACCUAUUCAAUUUUUUUCGUGCUAUACCAGUGUAUCUACUAAUUACAGAUUUCAAACUCACAGGCACGUCGAGCACACGCAGACGGAACAGUGCGCCACUUGCGUCUGCUUCUGUGGAGUGCUUCGGUAUGUGUGCACGUCUGCUUUGGGGGAUGGGAGUAGAUGGGGGUGGGUUGGUGGAUGUUGCCGUCAUCGCUUGCCCGCACCAGCGCCACCACCUCACACGCACACAUACAUACGUACAUACACAACCCCAUACCUGUGCCUCUCCGCCUCCCCCCUCCCACUCCACCAAGCCACCUCAUGCAUCACCCUUGCUAGAGCAGUAGCAGUGAUUCUGAUUAUUCUUCAGGUUUUCAUAGUCACCACAUUCUGUGUUGUCCCCCGUUGUCGUUGUUUCUCUUGCGCGUGUCCUGUUAUUAUUUGUGUCCCUCUCUCUCCUCUCUCUCCCCCUUCGACAGUCGUGUGUCGAAGUGGACAUGCGUUGGUGUUGUCUCUAUAUAUAUACAUAUGUAUACAUAUGUGUGUGUGUGUGUCGGUGUGUGUCUCACCCUCCGACGGCAACAUGACUGCCGCGAUCGCCCUUUGAAGUAAUCGAAGGUCGGCGUGAAACGCACGGAGCGAAGGGCACACGUGCACGCCAUCACGGAUAGACACAGAUGCAACAGGGUGCGCACAGUACCACUGAACUUAGGUGCACGCUCUCUAUGCGCUCCACGAGCAAACGAAAACAACGGAGAAGGCUUCAUCAAGUAUCUACGACCCUUGCGCACCUUGCAUGCAUGUCAUGAAUGUGCUCUGCUUGAUAUCUUGCCUCAUUUCGUGGCUGUACCCCCUCUCUCUCUCGCUGUGUCACCUACCCCGCCCCACCCUUCAUCCUAGGUGCUCGUGUUGUUGUUGGCGACUCCUCUUGUUUUGUUGGACUUUGACUGUGCGUAUGCACGUGCCUUGAUGAGCACCACUCCGUGCGUCUCCUCGUACCCUCUUCCUCCCCCCUCCCCUCCCCUCUCCCACACCUCUCAUCAUGUCCUCUCCCUCACUCUCACCAUCUCUCCCCAUCCGCCCGCCUUCCUUCACGCAUCCACAGACACAUGCACGCCCCCUGCCUUGCUGUGACCACUUUUGUCGAGUGGCGUCUCGGUGCCUGUCUAUGUGUCUGUGUGUGUGUGUGUGUGUGUGUGUGUGUGUGUGUGGUAUUCUGUAUGUUUGUGCCUAUGUGGGUAUCAAUGUAUGCUUGCGCUUUACUCGUGUGCGUGCGUGCGUGCGUGCGUGCGUGCGUGCGUGCGUGCGUGCGUGCGUGCGUGUGCGAGUCUCCCUCUCUGUUCAUCUCCUCGUUGUCUUUGUUUUUUUUUAUGUUUUUGUUUGCCAUAUGCCUUCUUGCUGGGGAGGGGGCGGUGUUGGCGAGAGUAACGGAUGGUCGCCGCCCGCUCCCAUCAUGCACCCUCUGUUCUCUGCUUGUUGUGUCGUCGCCGCCUUCUUCACACACACACACACGCACCUCUGUCGGGCUGGUUGGACGGCCCUGUGUACUUGCAGCAGGCGUAGUCUGGGCCGAGAGACACCCAUCCAUUAUGAGAGUGUGGCGAGCAAGGAGAGAUGAUCUGUCUCCAGGCAAACAACAGCAACAACCACAG
RNAcentral lists this unclassified non-coding RNA (6429 nucleotides) under Leishmania donovani. RNAcentral describes it as "gene:LdHU3.04.0580(CDS-product:adenylosuccinate_l yase_putative)". Lineage: Eukaryota; Euglenozoa; Kinetoplastea; Trypanosomatida; Trypanosomatidae. The record is from RNAcentral.